This 274-nucleotide long non-coding RNA is filed under the name Ananas comosus (pineapple). RNAcentral's name for it is "long non-coding RNA (ACOM_LNC034366)". Lineage: Eukaryota; Viridiplantae; Streptophyta; Magnoliopsida; Poales; Bromeliaceae. The record is from RNAcentral.
AAAAUGUAUAAUCUAAUACUGGAUCCUUAUCAAAUUACAAAAAUUCACAUCAUCACAUGAUACAUGCACAUCACAAGGUCGCUAUCCAUGAUCAUCACCUCAUAUACAUCACAUGCAUAUAAUAUUAAAUUCUCUAAUUCGAAUUCUAAUUAAUUGGGUUUCGAAUUAAUUUAAAAACAAAUCUUUAUUUGUUUCAAGAAUCGCAAUUUUCGUAAAAUUAUUAAAAAGAUCUAAUACAUCUCAUGUAUUAAAUUUUAAAAUUUAAAACUAAUUU